GAUGAACGCUGGCGGCGUGCCUAAUACAUGCAAGUCGAGCGAACGGACGAGAAGCUUGCUUCUCUGAUGUUAGCGGCGGACGGGUGAGUAACACGUGGAUAACCUACCUAUAAGACUGGGAUAACUUCGGGAAACCGGAGCUAAUACCGGAUAAUAUUUUGAACCGCAUGGUUCAAAAGUGAAAGACGGUCUUGCUGUCACUUAUAGAUGGAUCCGCGCUGCAUUAGCUAGUUGGUAAGGUAACGGCUUACCAAGGCAACGAUGCAUAGCCGACCUGAGAGGGUGAUCGGCCACACUGGAACUGAGACACGGUCCAGACUCCUACGGGAGGCAGCAGUAGGGAAUCUUCCGCAAUGGGCGAAAGCCUGACGGAGCAACGCCGCGUGAGUGAUGAAGGUCUUCGGAUCGUAAAACUCUGUUAUUAGGGAAGAACAUAUGUGUAAGUAACUGUGCACAUCUUGACGGUACCUAAUCAGAAAGCCACGGCUAACUACGUGCCAGCAGCCGCGGUAAUACGUAGGUGGCAAGCGUUAUCCGGAAUUAUUGGGCGUAAAGCGCGCGUAGGCGGUUUUUUAAGUCUGAUGUGAAAGCCCACGGCUCAACCGUGGAGGGUCAUUGGAAACUGGAAAACUUGAGUGCAGAAGAGGAAAGUGGAAUUCCAUGUGUAGCGGUGAAAUGCGCAGAGAUAUGGAGGAACACCAGUGGCGAAGGCGACUUUCUGGUCUGUAACUGACGCUGAUGUGCGAAAGCGUGGGGAUCAAACAGGAUUAGAUACCCUGGUAGUCCACGCCGUAAACGAUGAGUGCUAAGUGUUAGGGGGUUUCCGCCCCUUAGUGCUGCAGCUAACGCAUUAAGCACUCCGCCUGGGGAGUACGACCGCAAGGUUGAAACUCAAAGGAAUUGACGGGGACCCGCACAAGCGGUGGAGCAUGUGGUUUAAUUCGAAGCAACGCGAAGAACCUUACCAAAUCUUGACAUCCUUUGACAACUCUAGAGAUAGAGCCUUCCCCUUCGGGGGACAAAGUGACAGGUGGUGCAUGGUUGUCGUCAGCUCGUGUCGUGAGAUGUUGGGUUAAGUCCCGCAACGAGCGCAACCCUUAAGCUUAGUUGCCAUCAUUAAGUUGGGCACUCUAAGUUGACUGCCGGUGACAAACCGGAGGAAGGUGGGGAUGACGUCAAAUCAUCAUGCCCCUUACGAUUUGGGCUACACACGUGCUACAAUGGACAAUACAAAGGGCAGCGAAACCGCGAGGUCAAGCAAAUCCCAUAAAGUUGUUCUCAGUUCGGAUUGUAGUCUGCAACUCGACUACAUGAAGCUGGAAUCGCUAGUAAUCGUAGAUCAGCAUGCUACGGUGAAUACGUUCCCGGGUCU
This 1372-nucleotide ribosomal RNA is filed under the name uncultured bacterium. RNAcentral's name for it is "bacterial SSU rRNA". It matches the Rfam family "Bacterial small subunit ribosomal RNA", at positions 28 to 1381 of the family's 1533-position model. The record is from RNAcentral.